UGGACUUUCAUGAUUUUGUGCCUCCUGAAAGACCUUUACAUAGAAGCCAAGCUGCCACCGCAGAGAGCUCUUUAAGAGCCACGCUGCCACUACCGAAACAGCCACGUGCUUUUCUCCUCACACACUGGGCCACCAGUGAGAAGCCGUUAACCAGCUGGAGGAAGAUGCGUUUCUGGAGGGUAUUUUGAAGGAAUUAAAUAUCCCAGUGUUUGGCAGUAAAUAGAUGAGAGCUUCCACCAGCCCCAGCGGCGUGACAGGGCCGUGCUGAGGAGGGCGCCACCGCUGAGGGACGCCACCGAAGAUGGCUGCCGGCCCUGCCCCGGUGCGGGCAGCUCACAGCUGCGCUGCCUUGGGCCUGGCCCCUCCUGGCGGGCUGGUGACGAUGACAUGGGAGGCAGCUGCUGACUGUCACCAUCUCUCGCUGUGAGGAUGGGAUGACAGCCAGGAAAUUAUUACAGCGCAAUUUAAAGACCAUAAAAUAUAAGAUGAGCAGAUGGCAGGUCGCGUCUCCUCUCCAUGAACAGCCUAUGUCACCGUGGCACUACUUCAGCGCAUGCUGAGCCGCACUCGCAAAGUCCAAACAAGAGCCGUCACCGGCGGAGAUGUCUGUCAGAGCACCGUCCCAGCAGCACAGACCUUACGACUGUGACAAAGAAUCUGGGCAUUGGCAAGGAGCUUUAGCAACAAUGAGCUUUAAAUACCUGCUGCUAAGAUAAUCACAAUAAUCUGUCUGCCAGCUUUUUCCUAAUGUGCAUUUUCUAAUUCAUUGUGGGAGGCAAAAUCCUCUGACCGGUGGAAUGAAGACGUGGCGCUGUGACUGUAAUUUAAAUUGUUAAACAACUGGAAGGAGCCGCUAUCAACCAGAAAUCCUACCCAAAGAAGAAUAGCAGCCUUCACAGAUUAAUUUUUAAAAACAACAACUAGAAUUUAGUCUUUUCAUAGAAAGGGAUCCUUGAUUCUUUGCAAGGGAUCCUCAGUUCUGUGCAAGGGAUUAAAAAAGCACCCAUCCCAGUUUCAGGAUUUGCUGGUUCUGUUCCCCUUCUGAUCUUUCUGAGUCUACCCUUGGAGAUGGGUUCUUACACUUUUUCUCUCCGUUCCCUCUCCAUGCACUGCUGUAGUCUGUGGGGAUGGGAUGCUGAAAUCGCUGGUACGGUCACUCCAAUGUCCCAGACAGGAUGUUCUCAAGCAAGUUAUUUCUCUUCCAUUGAAAUGGGAAAAACAAACAAAGGUCUGUCAUGUAUUGGUCCUUGCUGCAGCAGCUGAGCUGAUCCCCUUAUCCUUUCAGCAUGAAUUACGAGAAGGCUCUGCUCCUAUGCACAGCACUUUGCUGAAGAAGGCUGUAUGUUUCCUAUUCAUCACCAGCACAACUUGGUGCACAGGGACACACCAUUGUGUAGAAAAUGUCUUUUUUUUUUUAGUAUUAGUAGAACAAAAACUGAAGAGCGAUCUGGGAUAUGAUAUCCAGCUAAUAAUAUGAUAGGAAUGUGUCUCCUCAAAAAAACAAAAGAGGGAAGGGUUCUGGCUAAAGGAGCCACACAGCUGUAACAGCAGGGCCAACAGGUUUCCAUCUUGUGUACAGCUCCCCUGGUACUGGGACAUCUCUCUUCUCAUGGAGCUGCAGGAUUUAUGUGUCAGCGAUUCAUCUGGGAGAUGGCAGCCCUGCAGCAGAGCCUGGUUGAAGAGGAGAGGGAGAACAGGAGGUAUGCAGCUCAUAGUCACCAUGGGCACAGUCCCAGGCAUUUUACAAUCAGAUAUGUCAGUAUUUUUUUGGAGUGAAAUCUUCUUGAAUUUUUCUUUUACUGCAUAUUCUGUACUCUCAUUCAAUUUCAAAUGGAAACAAAUAUCAAUAUGUCAUACAUCCUGU
Molecule: long non-coding RNA, 1864 nt
Organism: Oxyura jamaicensis (ruddy duck)
Lineage: Eukaryota; Metazoa; Chordata; Aves; Anseriformes; Anatidae
Exons: 3
Source: RefSeq, a predicted model, not a curated record